This 454-nucleotide ribosomal RNA is filed under the name uncultured Parabacteroides sp. RNAcentral describes it as "partial 16S ribosomal RNA". It matches the Rfam family "Bacterial small subunit ribosomal RNA", at positions 341 to 792 of the family's 1533-position model. Lineage: Bacteria; Pseudomonadati; Bacteroidota; Bacteroidia; Bacteroidales; Tannerellaceae. The record is from RNAcentral.
ACGGGAGGCAGCAGUGAGGAAUAUUGGUCAAUGGAGGCAACUCUGAACCAGCCAUCUCGCGUGAAGGAAUACGGCCCUACGGGUCUUAAACUUCUUUUAUAGGGGGAUAAAGUGAGGCAUGCAUGCCUUUUUGUAGGUACCCUAUGAAUAAGCAUCGGCUAACUCCGUGCCAGCAGCCGCGGUAAUACGGAGGAUGCGAGCGUUAUCCGGAUUUAUUGGGUUUAAAGGGUGCGUAGGCGGAGGAUCAAGUCAGUGGUGAAAUGGUGCGGCUCAACCGUAGCAUUGCCGUUGAAACUGGUUUUCUAGAGUGCGAAUGAGGUGGGCGGAAUGUGUCAUGUAGCGGUGAAAUGCAUAGAUAUGACACAGAACACCGAUUGCGAAGGCAGCUCACUGGGACGCAACUGACGCUGAGGCACGAAAGUGCGGGGAUCGAACAGGAUUAGAUACCCUGGUA